Molecule: ribosomal RNA, 440 nt
Filed under: uncultured bacterium
Lineage: Bacteria
Description: partial 16S ribosomal RNA
Rfam family: Bacterial small subunit ribosomal RNA
Source: RNAcentral
CCUACGGGUGGCAGCAGUGGGGAAUAUUGCACAAUGGGGGAAACCCUGAUGCAGCGACGCCGCGUGAGUGAAGAAGGAUUUCGGUAUGUAAAGCUCUAUCAGCAGGGAAGAAAAUGACGGUACCUGAUUAAGAAGCCGCGGCGAACUAUGAGCCAGCAGCCGCGGUAAUACGUAGGGGGCAAGCGUUAUCCGGAUUUACCGGGUGUAAAGGGAGCGUAGACGGCAGCACAAGUCUGGAGUGAAAUGCCGGGGCUUAAACCCGGAACUGCUUUGGAAACUGUGCAGCUAGAGUGCAGGAGAGGUAAGUGGAAUUCCUAGUGUAGCGGUGAAAUGCGUAGAUAUUAGGAGGAACCCCAGUGGCGAAGGCGGCUUGCUGGACUGUAACUGACGUUGAGGCUCGAAAGCGUGGGGAGCGAACAGGAUUAGAUACCCCUGUAGUC